UUCAAGGGAUUGUGAAAAGGAACGUGCGAAGUAACCAGCGGCGCAUGACCUGUGAUUAUACAUCUAUCUAGUAGCAAGACUCGGCUAAUUGACAGGUUGGGAGGGUCAAUAUAGGGUUCUGGAACAAGGAGACAAACGUGUGACAAAGAAAUACAAUUAACUAUGCCCUGCACCCUCUUAAGCACGCGCCUCUUAAUCGUCACAAUCCAAGAGUUCAUUAACCCCAUGGUAUAAAAAGGGCUUUAUUUUGGAUUGACAAGACCACAUAGUUACAAGUUAAAACUGACCUGGUGGUUGACCCCCACUUAAUUUUAGUGAAGAAAAAUAGAGCACAUAGCACGAGCGAAGCCGUGGCCGAAAGCUAUUGGAGCUAAAUCAAUACUUACUAAUAUUGUAAAGCUGAUGAAUUUG
Long non-coding RNA from Colias croceus (clouded yellow), 411 nucleotides. RefSeq lists it as uncharacterized. Lineage: Eukaryota; Metazoa; Arthropoda; Insecta; Lepidoptera; Pieridae. The record is from RefSeq and is a predicted model, not a curated record. The transcript is spliced from 3 exons.